GAUACAAUCUGUAGAAACUCCAAAACAAGCACAAUAUGCAAUAAAAAAAAGAAUCUCUCUAACCAAAAUAAUACGUAAGGAUGUACUUUUUGACCUUAUUUCUGUAACUUUAGAAAUUCAAAAAAUUUAGGAAACCAUAAAACUUUUAUAGCCAAUCUGAUGUAAAAAUUUCAGAAAUUUAUCACGCUCUAUUUAAAAACAAAAAA
This 206-nucleotide long non-coding RNA is filed under the name Hordeum vulgare. Its description in RNAcentral is "long non-coding RNA (HVUL_LNC019158)". Lineage: Eukaryota; Viridiplantae; Streptophyta; Magnoliopsida; Poales; Poaceae. The record is from RNAcentral.